CCUACGGGCUGCACCAGUGGGGAAUAUUGCACAAUGGGCGCAAGCCUGAUGCAGCCAUGCCGCGUGUAUGAAGAAGGCCUUCGGGUUGUAAAGUACUUUCAGCGAGGAGGAAGGCGUUAAGGUUAAUAACCUUAGCGAUUGACGUUACCCGCAGAAGAAACACCGGCUAACUCCGUGCCAGCAGCCGCGGUAAUACGGAGGGUGCGAGCGUUAAUUGGAAUUACUGGGCGUAAAGCGCACGCAGGCGGUCUGUCAAGUCGGAUGUGAAAUCCCCGGGCUCAACCUGGGAACUGCAUUCGAAACUGGCAGGCUAGAGUCUUGUAGAGGGGGGUAGAAUUCCAGGUGUAGCGGUGAAAUGCGUAGAGAUCUGGAGGAAUACCGGUGGCGAAGGCGGCCCCCUGGACAAAGACUGACGCUCAGGUGCGAAAGCGUGGGGAGCAAACAGGAUUAGAUACCCGUGUAGUC
RNAcentral lists this ribosomal RNA (465 nucleotides) under uncultured bacterium. RNAcentral describes it as "bacterial SSU rRNA". It matches the Rfam family "Bacterial small subunit ribosomal RNA", at positions 338 to 795 of the family's 1533-position model. The record is from RNAcentral.